GGCCAUUUUGAGCGUGGCUGGGAAGAGAAGUGUAUUCGGAUGCUGCAAGGGACCUCGACGCGGGUUCCUUGCCUCAGCAGAGGUUUUCGAUCGGCCUUAUGUCCCGCGGCUGGCAGGACACUUAGAGCUCACUUGCUGUUUUCGUUGAAAGACCGACCCUUUUGAUAAAGACUGCUGGGGAAGGCGACGAAUUCCUUUCCCCAGGUCGCAUUCUAUGGGCAGGCACCAAGGCCAAUUGCGUUUCCCACAAAGCCCCGCACGGAGCAGGUGACACAGUAGAUGCCUAACGUGUGUCCAUGUAAUGAACCAGGGGCUUGUGUACUUGUUUCCGCCUUCCACCCUGCAUUA
RNAcentral lists this long non-coding RNA (348 nucleotides) under Homo sapiens (human). RNAcentral's name for it is "non-protein coding lnc-ZACN-3:1". Lineage: Eukaryota; Metazoa; Chordata; Mammalia; Primates; Hominidae. The record is from RNAcentral.